GUGCCUUCGGGAACNGUGAGACAGGUGCUGCAUGGCUGUCGUCAGCUCGUGUUGUGAAAUGUUGGGUUAAGUCCCGCAACGAGCGCAACCCUUAUCCUUUGUUGCCAGCGGUCCGGCCGGGAACUCAAAGGAGACUGCCAGUGAUAAACUGGAGGAAGGUGGGGAUGACGUCAAGUCAUCAUGGCCCUUACGACCAGGGCUACACACGUGCUACAAUGGCGCAUACAAAGAGAAGCGACCUCGCGAGAGCAAGCGGACCUCAUAAAGUGCGUCGUAGUCCGGAUUGGAGUCUGCAACUCGACUCCAUGAAGUCGGAAUCGCUAGUAAUCGUGGAUCAGAAUGCCACGGUGAAUACGUUCCCGGGCCUUGUACACACCGCCC
Molecule: ribosomal RNA, 381 nt
Filed under: Escherichia coli
Lineage: Bacteria; Pseudomonadati; Pseudomonadota; Gammaproteobacteria; Enterobacterales; Enterobacteriaceae
Description: bacterial SSU rRNA
Rfam family: Bacterial small subunit ribosomal RNA
Source: RNAcentral